Molecule: ribosomal RNA, 490 nt
Filed under: uncultured bacterium
Lineage: Bacteria
Description: partial 16S ribosomal RNA
Rfam family: Bacterial small subunit ribosomal RNA
Source: RNAcentral
AAUGAACGCUGGCGGCAUGCCUUACACAUGCAAGUCGAACGGCAGCAUGACCUAGCUUGCUAGGUUGAUGGCGAGUGGCGAACGGGUGAGUAAUGAAUCGGAACGUGCCUUUUAGUGGGGGAUAACGUAGCGAAAGUUACGCUAAUACCGCAUAUUCUCUGAGGAGGAAAGCAGGGGACUUUCGGGCCUUGCGCUAGAAGAGCGGCCGAUGUCGGAUUAGCUAGUUGGUGAGGUAAAGGCUCACCAAGGCAACGAUCCGUAGCGGGUCUGAGAGGAUGAUCCGCCACACUGGGACUGAGACACGGCCCAGACUCCUACGGGAGGCAGCAGUGGGGAAUUUUGGACAAUGGGCGCAAGCCUGAUCCAGCCAUGCCGCGUGAGUGAAGAAGGCCUUCGGGUUGUAAAGCUCUUUCGGCUGGGAAGAAAUCGCACCCUCUAAUACAGGGUGUGGAUGACGGUACCAGCAUAAGAAGCACCGGCUAACUACGUG